RNAcentral lists this long non-coding RNA (668 nucleotides) under Struthio camelus australis. RNAcentral's name for it is "lncRNA (ENSSCUG00000004066.1)". Lineage: Eukaryota; Metazoa; Chordata; Aves; Struthioniformes; Struthionidae. The record is from RNAcentral.
AAUAACCUGCCGCGUUCGCUACCGGCCAUGUCUUUCGCUAGGGGUUUUGUUCCGUUUUGCUCUGCCCGCUGCUGUUAAAGUGUUAUAGACAUUGUCUUAUUUCCCACGAUUUUUUAUUCUCCGACCUGGCCUCCCCGCACUAUUGCAGAAAUGCUAGUGCUAUACCAACGGACGGCGUAGGACUUCAGAUGGGGAUGAGCGGCACAAUCUCCAGGGGCUUCCGAGAUGUCUUGGGUGUUGCGGCCUGUGCUCCUGUAAAAAGGCAGUGGAAUUGCUUUCUUGCUCUCACUGGCCGGCCGGAAGGAUUCAACAAGCUUUACUCUGAAAUGAAUACACGAUUUUAACACUGGCGUCCACGAAGACUCAACAAAAGACACCUUCAUUACUUCGGAAGGCCUCCGGGUCAGCUACCCCAUUACAGCUCCAGGAGGAGAGGACUGCUUUUGAACGACUCGCGCCUGCUGCGUCGCAUCUGGAGGCAGAGACUCUGCGCGGAGCCGAGCGGUGCCGCCGGGAGAGCGCGUGGGACGGGAGCCGCCGUUGCAGGUUGGAGUGCACGGGCUGCCCGUUGCGGGCAGGCUCCCCGGCAGGGCCAGCACGCGUAGCCUGGCCGCUGAGCACCGCGCCGGCCCGCCACAGCAUGUCCCUCCGUGGGCAUGCGCUGGCCC